Molecule: ribosomal RNA, 585 nt
Filed under: uncultured bacterium
Lineage: Bacteria
Description: partial 16S ribosomal RNA
Rfam family: Bacterial small subunit ribosomal RNA
Source: RNAcentral
UGGGGAAUUUUGGACAAUGGGCGAAAGCCUGAUCCAGCAAUGCCGCGUGUGUGAAGAAGGCCUUCGGGUUGUAAAGCACUUUUGUCCGGAAAGAAAUCCUUGGCUCUAAUACAGUCGGGGGAUGACGGUACCGGAAGAAUAAGCACCGGCUAACUACGUGCCAGCAGCCGCGGUAAUACGUAGGGUGCAAGCGUUAAUCGGAAUUACUGGGCGUAAAGCGUGCGCAGGCGGUUUGCUAAGACCGAUGUGAAAUCCCCGGGCUCAACCUGGGAACUGCAUUGGUGACUGGCAGGCUAGAGUAUGGCAGAGGGGGGUAGAAUUCCACGUGUAGCAGUGAAAUGCGUAGAGAUGUGGAGGAAUACCGAUGGCGAAGGCAGCCCCCUGGGCCAAUACUGACGCUCAUGCACGAAAGCGUGGGGAGCAAACAGGAUUAGAUACCCUGGUAGUCCACGCCCUAAACGAUGUCAACUAGUUGUUGGGGAUUCAUUUCCUUAGUAACGUAGCUAACGCGUGAAGUUGACCGCCUGGGAGGUACGGUCGCAAGAUUAAAACUUAAAUGAAUUGACGGGGUCAUAGCUGUUUCCU